AAGAACACAGUGCAGGGAGGGAGACCAGAUGCUGUGCGGGAAAUCUCUGAUCUUCUUUUAUUUAUUUUGGGGGAUUUUUAUACAGCCUUAUCUAAUAGCCCAAAGCAAUGGACAGAAACUUGGCGCACGCGCAAAAAAUGUUUGCAGUAUGCUGAGAGUUUUGCUUAGAGUUUUUUCCUUUUCUUUUUGAGCCCUCAAAAAGCUUAUGUCUUUACCUUUUUUAAAAAAACCUAUAAAUAUAGUAGUCUUAUGAAACUUAUUUCAGCCAUUCAUUGGAACAGAAGAAGAGCCUUGCAGGAUCAAGCCAGUGGCCCAUGUAGACCAGAAUCCUGUUCUCACGGUGGCCAACCAGAUCCCCGUUAUGGGAAACCCACAAGCAGGAUCUGAGCACAAGAGCCCUCUCUCCCCUAGUCCUUGAUUCACAAAAUGGGGGGAAAGGCCCAUUUCCAAACGGACCUGUGCAGGAUGCAUCCACUCCAGCCUGGCGCAUGGGAGCAAGAUGUCCUUUUGAGAUAUUGGCAAAAAAAUUAAAUUGCUUCUCUCCACGGGAAGCGGGUGCGAUUGUCAGUUAUAGCAGCAGCUGGAAGAGUCGUGUGUAGUAGAUGCUGCAGGAUCUCACCUGCGGAGGCUUCAUUAGUGCCUCAAUCCGAGGGGAGAGAUGAGAGCCAAGAAGAUCAAGGAGGAAUCUGCGCCCAGCAGAGAAGUAAUUGCUCUGAACUGGGAGCAGAUGAAAAGGGCUGGGGAGAGGCAGCGGCAGCAGAGGAGGGAGAUGGAGGAGGCUGCCCUUCUCGGGCUGCUAGGUCUCUCCUCCUCCUCCUCUCCUCCAAUUAAUGCCACGCAGGAGAUUCAGCAGGGAUGGAAGCAAAACGCAGGGUCUCCCCAACAGCCUCCCAUUUCAUAACGCCCAGCUUGGGGCACAUUAUCCUUCAUGAUGGGAAGGCAAAGCGGUGCCAGAUUUUUUGGAAUUUAAUUCCGACAGAAACGACAAACGCUACUAAAGGAACGAUUGACUGUAGUCCUAAAUCAACGCUGAGUAUUUCUGAGGAUGCCAAUGCAGGUCUGUCGUUAAAAGGAUUGCUUUUAUCCAUGAAAUUGGCAACUCAAAUAGUAGCUGCGGCUCAACAGCCCAAAACCUUAGAUUGGACACUCUGGAAUAGAGCUAUAACAGAGAAAAUCAAACAAUAAUGGAGGUGUCGACAAAGAUGAGAAGCUCCAGACAAUUUUUAAUGUGAUUUGGCAUUUUCAACCGUCCUUUUCAAGGCAACCCUCAUCACCAGCGUGAAAAAUCUGGAAUUAAUAAUCUGAUGAUACUGAUAGUAUUUACUUGGACCCCUGUGAAACUGUUACUCAUUCUACACGCCUAUUUUAUAGCCUUGUUUUUCAUCCCUUGUCAUCUGUUUUUAUAAUCGUUCUCUCUAUUUUAUAUGCAUUAUAAAGUGAAAUUAAUUUUUAAAAAAAACUUCACCCCCAAAAUGUGGCCACUUAAAAUCAUAGAAUUGUAGGGUUGGAAGAGACUCCCAAGGGUCGUCCCCCCCCCCAAAAAAAGUCAGCAAGCCUCGUGGCCCCAGAGAGCCUCCUCUUUUAUCUGCCAUGAAUCUUUCCACAGCCAGUUUUGUUGGAUAUCCACAAUUUCAUUUCUUCCAUUCAGGAAGGAAUGCGUUGUCUAAACAGCCCCUUGAACCUCAGGUCAAUGGCUGCAGGGGAUUUCCUGGCAAAACUGGCCCCAAACCACACUGGUACGUCAAUUUAGCUCUGACCGCAUCCCGUCCUCCCCCCCAGGAUUAAAUGCUGCGGCCUCAAGUCUAGAAUCUUAUCUCUUACACCUGCGGCUUCUCCAGUGCCAUCUGAUUCCAUUUCCCAUCCAAUCCUGUCUCUCUGCCAGUGGUUUGCAGUCCUAGCCUGACACUCACAAUUUUUCCUCUGAACUUUGCAAGCCGGUCAGGAAGAAGGAGGUUUGGGGGUUUUUGGUCCCCCCCACUGUGCGAGGGGCUUGAUCCUGGCUGGAUGAGUGGCUUCCGCUUGUCUCCAGAGCUGGUUUCUGAAAGAAAACAGCUCUCAGGUGGAAGAGAGAAGCCUCUGCAGAUAAGAGGGUAGAGAAGAGUCUUUGUCCCUCUCUCUCAAAGCUAGAAUUUCUGGGUAUCCAUUUGUUGUAAACAAAAUCUGCCCUUUUUCCCUUAUGGGGUAUCCAAGAGCCCAUACAGAUUCCUUACGUAGGUUCCCUAUUGGUAGGAGAAAAUAACAGAGGCCAACCAGAGAAUAUUGAGAAGCAAAGCAGCUAGUAAGCCUGAUCUUUUAUUGAUCUGUUGCAACAGGGUCCUCACUCACCACACGCAGGAGGGAGGAGGAACCCUGAACAAUGGCACGCAAGGCCUUAUAUAGACAUUUUAAAUUCCCUGCCCUGGAGUGCAAGACCACCCCUCCAUACAUCAUACCUACAUCACAGAAGGGGUGUAACCCAAGACCACCCCCCACAAACAUCAUACCUACAUCACAGAAAAGGCGGUCUACAGCAGAAAUCUGAGUGCGUUGUUUAUCUCAUCUGACAGGUUACCUGUUAAUGCUCACUUGAUUGGAUAACCUGGGGAGCCUGGCCAGUCUUUCGUAAUGAUAAAUACUUAGUUCCUGAGCCAGGUCACAGGAUCACCCUAUUCAUACACAGACAUACCGUUAGGAUUUGUGAAGGAAAAGACAAUGGGGAGGCUUUUCCAUUUUCCUUGACCUUGCAGAGAAAACAUUUGCUCAGUUUGGGAAUCAAAAUGGUUCCAGGUUGGUCUUCCUGUGCUGAUCUAUGUACGUGCUUGGUUGAAUGUUAUGAAUGUUUAACAUAGAUCUAAGACCUCAAAAUUCCUGUCACACAUUGAAGCAGGAGAGAUAAAUAAAAGGAAGGGGAGAGCUGCUCUUCUGCUCAGGUCCUGCUCGGGGGUUUCCCUUUGGCCCCUGAGGGAACAGGAGGCUGGACUGGCUGCCUGAUUCAACUCUCCUCCUGUCCUUAUGCUUCUAGAGGUGAGGAUGCAACUGCCGGCAGCUGUGGACUCUGCUUCUUGCUGGCUCUGGCUCCCCUGCUGUUGGUCUCCCUGCCUUCUGCCCCGCCAGCCCCACUGCUCCAAGGGGGAAGCCAGAGCCCCCUUCAGGCAGGCUCGAGUGGGGCUAGGAAAUCUUAGCAGCUUUCUCUCGCCCAGGGCAACCCCAAGCGACUUGGAUUCAAAAGCAGAGCAAGACAGGAGGUGUUUUACCCACAAAAUAGGUACAGUAAAUUCUGUGUGUACCUGCCGUUAGCAUUACCCACACAGUUACAGUUGGGAGGGAACCCCAAAGGUCCUCUAGUCCAGCCCCCUGCAAUGCAGGAAUCAGAGCUGAAGAAUCCCCAGUUAUUUAUUUAUUUAUUUAUUUAUUUAUUUAUUGCUUUCAGAUAUACCCCUCCAGGGAGCUCAUACAUCGUUCUCCUCUUCCCCUUUCUGUCCCUGCGACGGCAGCCCUGCGAGGUUGUGGCCCAAGGUCAUGACCAGUGAGCUUCAUGGCCAAGCGGGGAUUUGAAUCCUGGUCACUCCCAGGUCCUAGAAAUCUGUCACCCUAACCACUGCACCGCACUGCCCUCGAACCAUGGAACUGUUGUAUAGAUGGUAUAUUACACCAGUGAAAUUAGCUAAAAUGUGUAAGACAAAUAAUAAAUGUUGGAAAUGUAAAGAAAAAGAAGGAACAUUUUAUCAUAUGUGGUGGGAAUGUAAAAAAGUAAAGAACUUCUGGGAAAUGAUAUAUAAUGAGAUGAAAAAGAUGUUGAAAUAUACUUUUUUUAAAAAAAAACAAGCAUUUUUACUUGGUAUUUUAGGUCAGAACAUUAAUAGGCAAGAUGUUAAAUUGUUUUUAUAUGCAACAACUGUGGCAAGAGUAUUGUUAGCCCAGAAACGGAAACAAGAAGAAAUUCUGACAAAAGAAGAAUGGCAGACGAAAUUAAUGGACUACGCAGAAUUGGACAAAAUGACAGGAAGGAUUCGAAACCUGCGGGACCAGAGAUUUACAGAAGAUUGGAAGAAGUAUAUGAAUUAUUUGAAGAGCAACUGUAACCAACAAAUUACGCUAGUAGGACUACAAGAAGUUUUGUAAGGAGAAAUAUAUGAAGUGUUACGAAGUAGAAAAAGAUAGAGAUAUUGGUUAUGAGUUUGAAAUGUAAUAGGGAAAAUAAGAAAUGCAUACUGAGAGAUUAGAUUGGAAAAUUUUCAGACAGGAUUGAUGGAAGUAAAAAAAAAUAUGAAUAAGAUGUAAAAGUAUGUUUAAUUACUGUUG
Molecule: non-coding RNA, 4281 nt
Organism: Podarcis lilfordi (Lilford's wall lizard)
Lineage: Eukaryota; Metazoa; Chordata; Lepidosauria; Squamata; Lacertidae
Source: the annotation of a GenBank genome assembly